GACGAACGCUGGCGGCGUGCUUAACACAUGCAAGUCGAACGGAAAGGCCCUGCUUUUGUGGGGUGCUCGAGUGGCAAACGGGUGAGUAACACGUGAGUAACCUGCCCUUGACUUUGGGAUAACUUCAGGAAACUGGGGCUAAUACCGGAUAGGAGCUCCUGCUGCAUGGUGGGGGUUGGAAAGUUUCGGCGGUUGGGGAUGGACUCGCGGCUUAUCAGCUUGUUGGUGGGGUAGUGGCUUACCAAGGCUUUGACGGGUAGCCGGCCUGGGAGGGUGACCGGCCUCCAUGGGACUGCGGUACGGACCAGACUCCUACGGGAGGCAGCAGUGGGGAAUAUUGCACAAUGGGCGGAAGCCUGAUGCAGCAACGCCGCGUGCGGGAUGACGGCCUUCGGGUUGUAAACCGCUUUCGCCUGUGACGAAGCGGGAGUGACGGUAAUGGGUAAAGAAGCACCGGCUAACUACGUG
This 468-nucleotide ribosomal RNA is filed under the name uncultured bacterium. Its description in RNAcentral is "partial 16S ribosomal RNA". It matches the Rfam family "Bacterial small subunit ribosomal RNA", at positions 28 to 507 of the family's 1533-position model. The record is from RNAcentral.